Molecule: long non-coding RNA, 463 nt
Organism: Neofelis nebulosa (Clouded leopard)
Lineage: Eukaryota; Metazoa; Chordata; Mammalia; Carnivora; Felidae
Exons: 2
Source: RefSeq, a predicted model, not a curated record
CCGAAGUCUCCUCUCCUGGGGUCCCCUGCUCUCCUACCUGGUCCAGGAUGUCACAUUCGGUAUGAGAAAAAGCCCUGUAGGGGACAAAGGUCCCCCCACCCCAGCCUCCACCGAGACACGCACCCCAGGGCUGUCUCCUACAGCAGCAAUGGAAAGGAGAUGAAGAGUUGUUUGGAAAUAGUAAAGGCCACGAUGGCAGGACCCCGCAGCACCCAUGCCGUCUUUGACCUCGACAACUUCAGAGGCUUCACAGACUAUGCCGAAUCAGUUCCACAGGUUCGCAGGACGUGUGGUGGCUUAGCUCCCAGACCACACCCUCCCCACAGAAGCCACAUGACAAGCGGGUAGGGCCCACACCGGCUCACAGUGGCCUGAUGAGCCACAAUGUACCUGAAGCUCCUGACACCCAGCAGGUGUUCAACCAAUGUUAUUUCUCCUUCCACACUAAAGAUAUAGGACUGUU